UAGUUGGUGGGUAAUGGCCUACCAAGGCAACGAUCAGUAGCCGGCCUGAGAGGGUGAACGGCCACAUUGGGACUGAGACACGGCCCAAACUCCUACGGAAGGCAGCAG
RNAcentral lists this ribosomal RNA (108 nucleotides) under uncultured bacterium. Its description in RNAcentral is "partial 16S ribosomal RNA". It matches the Rfam family "Bacterial small subunit ribosomal RNA", at positions 246 to 354 of the family's 1533-position model. The record is from RNAcentral.